CGCGUAGGCUGUUGAGUAAGUCAAAUGUGAAAUCCCCGGGCUUAACCUGGGAACUGCAUUCGAUACUGCUUAACUAGAGUAUGGUAGAGGGAAGUGGAAUUCCGGGUGUAGCGGUGAAAUGCGUAGAUAUCCGAGGAACACCAGUGGCGAAGGCGACUUCCUGGGCCAAUACUGACGCUGAGGUGCGAAAGCGUGGGGAGCAAACA
RNAcentral lists this ribosomal RNA (206 nucleotides) under uncultured bacterium. RNAcentral describes it as "partial 16S ribosomal RNA". It matches the Rfam family "Bacterial small subunit ribosomal RNA", at positions 568 to 774 of the family's 1533-position model. The record is from RNAcentral.